AUUGCAUCAUACAACUGGAAUGCAACCCAUCUUUGAAAUCACAAAACUUUUGUGGUUCUAAGGAGGUAGUGCUUAAUACACACAUUUCACUUGCUUUUCAUAGUGGAAGGUGUAACAGAAACAGGAAGAAAAUAAAAUUAUAACCCUAAUCUAUCUUUUGUUUAAAUUAUUCUUUCAACUCCAUACUCUUCUAAGUUUAAAAUUUUUGCAUCUAAGAAAAGAAUGGAACAAUCUCAAAAA
Molecule: unclassified non-coding RNA, 240 nt
Filed under: Hevea brasiliensis (rubber tree)
Lineage: Eukaryota; Viridiplantae; Streptophyta; Magnoliopsida; Malpighiales; Euphorbiaceae
Source: RNAcentral